CAGGUCUUGACAUGGGAGUGACCGGACUAGAGAUAGUUUUUUCCCUUCGGGGACACUCCACACAGGUGGUGCAUGGUUGUCGUCAGCUCGUGUCGUGAGAUGUUGGGUUAAGUCCCGCAACGAGCGCAACCCCUAUUGUUAGUUGCUACGCAAGAGCACUCUAGCGAGACUGCCGUUGACAAAACGGAGGAAGGUGGGGACGACGUCAAAUCAUCAUGCCCCUUAUGUCCUGGGCUACACACGUAAUACAAUGGCGGUCAACAGAGGGAUGCGAAGCCGCGAGGCAGAGCGAACCCCCAAAAGCCGUCCCAGUUCGGAUCGCAGGCUGCAACCCGCCUGCGUGAAGUUGGAAUUGCUAGUAAUCGCGGAUCAGCAUGCCGCGGUGAAUACGUUCCC
This 396-nucleotide ribosomal RNA is filed under the name uncultured bacterium. RNAcentral describes it as "bacterial SSU rRNA". It matches the Rfam family "Bacterial small subunit ribosomal RNA", at positions 975 to 1375 of the family's 1533-position model. The record is from RNAcentral.